AUUUAAGCUACUAUACACUGUGAUUGGAUUUUUUUAUUCUCUUUAUGUACCUCUCAUAUCCAUACUGAGUUUAGUUCAUAAUAUAGACUCUAAGCUGAGAAGUAAUAUAUAUUGAGGCAUCUAUUAAUGCUUCAUUUAAAACCCAUACCCUUACCUUAAAUUUUAGUGUAAUCCUGCUGACAAACUUGUGUGAGCCAACUAGGUAGAUUUUAGUUGAACAAUCUAGAUUCCUGCUUCUGUCACAAAACAGUUUAUACAAGUCAGCAGAAUUGGCAUAUAUCUGAUUAAAUGCAGUAGAGACAGAUGUAGUACACCUUUAGCAUGACUUACUCCUCUGUCAUUGGGAUAUGCUGUUCUCUUCAUAAAAUCACUUUUACUACAGAAAGUUAAAUAGCUCACAUUUUUGCUUUCUCCACUCUGCUUACUUAUGCAUAAAUAUUAUAGUCCCCUUGCCAAGUAGUCAGUAUUUAUAAAUAACAUAUUUACUAGAUUGACAACAUUAAGUCUAAAGAGAUAGACAUGGUGGUGACCAAAAGAGGAAUAUAUUGGGCAUUGUUACUUGGGAAAAGAUUUUAGCAUGGUAGUAUAGCUUGAUAGUAUUUGGUCAUAAUUAAGAGAUUAAAAAUUUCUUUCAUGACUUUGUUUCUUCACUCUUGCGAUGUCAUUUAUUGCAUAUAUUGAUACGGUUUUAAAAAAUUAAAAUUUACCUCUCCUAAACAUUUUCUGCCUUUGAAAAAGUCAUCGAAAAAUGUUUUGAAUAUAUACAAGAAUGAAAUUAAAGGGCAAAAAAAUAAGAGUUAAAGUUCUAUUCAUUUUUAUAUUAUUAGUCUAGGAAAGUGGUACAUUUAAUUAAACAUAGAAACUUAAAGACAUUGAAUACGACUUCUCUGUUGCUAUUCUAUGCCUUAUAAUACUCACUGCCAGACAGGGUAGGUAUGUAACUACUAACAACCCUAAAAUAUAACAAAUACAUCAACUGGAAAGCUUUGUAUAUUAUAAAAUUCUGUCAGCGUGGUAGGGUACCUGAGCAGCGAUCCUAUGGAGAGCUGAAACAGAGUAACUGCAGGCAGAAGAUAUCUUUUUAAAGGAACUUGCUGAUAAAAAGCUUCAACAGCAUGACAUAUCUCUGACUUGCUGGGAAACAGCAGCUGACAGAGCAAACCAACAUGUAACAAUUGGUUUCAGGGGUGAAUAUAUAGGACCAUAAACCAAAUGAAACUUGUGAACAGCUGCCAGAGUUGCAAAUCAAAAGCCAUUAUACACCUAUUCCAUGUGGGGCCAACUGUUGAAACUAAUAGCGCCCUUUCCUUUAGAUUUUCUUGAAUAAAGGCAGCUAUCAACUAGUGAUCAGACCAUAAGGAAUAUCAUUUUACUUAUGAUAGAGAAAUUAUAUACCAUUUGGAAAUUUUAUUUAAUCUAUUAUCCCUUUCAAUUUUGUAUUCAAAAUCUUUUCGUAAGCCAAGCCACCUUCCAAUAACAAUUAUUAAAUAUCUGAGCUUCAAUUGACUAUCAUGAUUUCUUGCAUUCUAAUCAACUAAAGAGAACUUCCAGAUAUAUUCUGUACUGUAAGUAAUUGAGCUAUUCCUCAUUAUGCCGGCCUUGAUUUGCAAAGGUGAUGAAAUAUCUUCACAGUUGAUGAGGAGGCUGGUUGCACCAAAACUUGCAAAAGUGUUUUCUUCAUUCUCACUACUGUAAAAUAAUGUGAAUUACAUAAAGGACUUUACUAGGCUGUAUACUGAAAGAACAAUAAAUCAUUAGCACCACAGGAGAGAGUUGUAAUAGCCUUUGAUUAAUCUAUAAUCUACCACUAUUGCAAUAUUCUUUGUUAAUGGAAUUUUCAAUUAGAAUGUUAUUUGAAACACAAUUCAUUUUACAUUUAUUAAACGUUCCGCAUACUAUUAUGUUGUCAUUAGGUAGCAUUUGGCAAACUGAUCAUUAAAGCAGCAAAUUUGGACCACAGAUUUGUUAUCAUUUUUGGGAGCUUGCAGUGGCUUUGGGAACUUUUUUUUAAACAGAUUUAAUGAUAAGAUUCCAUCAUCUUCUUUCACAGUUUUUUCAUCUCAUUAUUCCUAUUUGUGGAUGAACACUUGAAAAGAGAUUUAAUUGACUCAUAGUUCCACAGACUGUACAGGAAGCAUGGCUUGGAGGCCUCAGGAAACUUAAAAUCAUGGUCGAAGGUGAAAGGGAAGCAAACAUGUCUUACCGUGGCAGACAGGAGAGAAAGAGCAUCUUAAAAUUUUGAUCUAUUGAAUUCUGGCUGGCAUUGUUCCUGAUAAGAAGACAGUUGACUUUUCUGUCCUUGUGAAAGUUUGGGAAUUGAACAAUGAGAACACUUGGACACAGGGUGGGGAACAUCACACACCAGGGCCUGUCAUGGGGUGGGGAGGAAGAGGGGAGGGAUAGCAUUAGGAGAUAUACCUAAUGUAAAUGACGAGUUAACGGGUGCAGCACACCAACAUGGCACAUGUAUACAUUUGUAACAAACCUGCACAUUGUGCACAUGUACCCUAGAACUUAAAGUAUAAUAAAAAUAAAAAAUAAAAAAGAAGGCAGUUGACAUUCCUUUUAUUUUUCUUCUGUAUAUAAUAUACUGUUUAUUACAAGCUACUUUAUAUUUGAUUUUUAGUAAUCUUAUUGUGUUGAAUUGAGUGCUUUUUCAUUGGAUUUAUCCUGUUUAAAAUGAAUUGAGUUUCUUAGGCCUUCAGUUGAUAUUUUUCAUCAAAUUAAGUAAAAAAAAAAAAAAAAAUUAGCAUUAACUCUUCAAAUGUUUUUGAACCUUAUUUUCUCUCUCCUUCCUCUAGGACUUCAUUACGAGCAUGUAUGACUGCUUUAUUGUUCCAUGGAUCUCAAAGUCUCUGUUUAUUUAUGUAUUUAUUUUUUUCCUUUCUAUACUUCAGUUCAAUAGAUUGGCCUGUCUUUAAGUUCACUCAUUCUUUAUUCUCUAGUAUUCAAUAGCUGUUAAGUCCACCCUAUAGCUUUCUUAAUUUCAGAUAAUUUAUUUUUACAGUUUCAACUUAUAUGGUUUUUAUUUUAUCUGAUGAAAUUUUCAUCUCUUUACCCAUUUGUUUAUUUAUCAUUACUAUUUUUUAUUUUAGAUGGAGUCUUGCUCUGUUGCCCAGGCUGGAGUACAGUGGCACGAUCUCAGCUCACUGCAACCUCCGCCUCCCAGGUUCAAGCAAUUCUCUGCCUCAGCCUCCCAAGUAGCUGGGAUUACAGGCACCUACCACCAUGCCCAGCUAAUUUUUUGUAUUUUUAGUAGAGAUGGGGUUUCACCAUCUUGGCCAGGCUGGUCUUGAACUGUUGACCUCAUGAUCCACCCGCCUCGGCCUCCCAAAGUCCAAAAGUGCUAGGAUUACAGGCACGAGCCACUGCUCCCAGCCUGUGUUUAUUUUUUAUUGUAAAUUCUCAAACAUACAUGUAAUAGCUGUUUUAUUGAUUUUUUUCCUAUUACUUUCAAAACCUCUGGUCCCCUCUGUAUCUGUUUGUAUAGACUAUUUUCUUUUUCUUAUGGUCAUAUUUUUGCUUCUUCAUAUGUCUAGUAUAUUUUCUUUAUAAUUUAUAUCACACAUUGUUAGGGCCAUGUUGGUGAGCAGCCAGACUUAUUUCCCCCUUUUAAAAUGGUUGGAUUUUGUUCUGACAAGUAGUUAACUUACUGGUCCAACAACUUGAUCUUUUGAGGCUUGGCUUUUACUUUGUUAGAGCACUAUUACUAUAUAACUCUGCUUCUAAGUGUGGCACUUCUAGGGUCUGAAUGCCUGGGGUAUUCAUCAAAGAUUCCUGACUCAGGUUAAUCAGAACUCCACUGUUCCUCAGCACUUUGGUUUUUGGAAUAGCUAUUUGGCUCACAGCCUCCAGUAGCUCUUGUCUGUCAUGCCUAUGGUUUCUGACUGAAAUUGACCAACAAUUCAAAAUUCAAAAAUAAUCACUAUCCAAAAAUUUCUCUUCAGAAUUUUGGAGCUUUUUCUGUGACUGGUUCCCUCCUCUCUAAUACUCUGUACAUUAAAUUUCAGCUGCCACAGGCCACAGGGACUCCAAACUCCAAUCACUAUUCUUCACUAUUCUCUUUGCCCACUAAGAAACACCAGUCUCUGUUUUGGCUACAAUUUUUUUUUUUUUUUUUUUUUUU
This is a long non-coding RNA of Gorilla gorilla gorilla (western lowland gorilla), 4126 nucleotides long. RefSeq lists it as uncharacterized. The record is from RefSeq and is a predicted model, not a curated record. The transcript has 3 exons. NCBI's taxonomy places the organism in Eukaryota, Metazoa, Chordata, Mammalia, Primates, Hominidae.